CUGGCAGGCUUCAUCUAUGCCUGUUAUGUUGUGAAGUGUAUUACUGAAGAAGAGGACAGCUUUGACUUCAUAGGUGGAUUUGACUCUUACGGCUAUCAAGGUCCACAGAAGACAUCUCAUUUACAACUACAGCCCAUGUAUAUGUCAAAGUAAACAUGGGGAGUACCCAAGGUGGGCUGGAAGACCACUGUCAAAGAAACUGUUUCAGAAUGGCCUCCUGAUUCUUCAAAGAGAAAAAAAUCCAAUUUUUCUGCUAAAAGAAAAAUAUAAAAGCUGGUUGAACAGUGAGACAGAAAACAAGAGACUUUCAGCCCCUCUUUCUAACAGGUACUAAAGGAGAUGUCCCAGCCCCCCACCUUGGACCUCCUGCCUCCCAGCACCAGAGGACAGAGCAGAGGCAUUGGUGCCAUCUUUUAUCUCUUCCCUACCCCGGCCACCGCCAGCG
Long non-coding RNA from Manacus vitellinus (golden-collared manakin), 445 nucleotides. The record is from Ensembl. Lineage: Eukaryota; Metazoa; Chordata; Aves; Passeriformes; Pipridae.